UGAGGCGGUUCCAGGUGGGAAGGGAGCAAAUGAGCUCAGUGUGUUGGGGGUGGGGGGAGCAGUGAGGAGGCUGGUGUCAUGGGCACAGAGUGAAUGGCAGGGCAGGAGGUGGAGGAAGGCUGCAGAGUUAUGGGAUGGGGGCUUCCUAGGUCCCGGGGAGGAGCUGGGAUUCCACUGGCUGCCUCCACUUGGAUGUCUCAAAUGGCAUCUCACACCACUGGCUGGGCACACAGAGCCCAAUAUGUAUUUGUUGCUCAAUAAAUAUUUGAUGGAAGGGCCAGGCACGGUGCCUCAAGCCUGUCAUCCCAGCACUUUGGGAGGCCAAGGCAGGCAGAUCACCUGAGGUCAGGAGUUCAAGUCUAGCCUGGCCAACAUGGUAAAACCCCCUUCUCUACUAAAAAUACAAAAAUUAAUUGGACAUGGUGGCGGUGCCUAUAAAUCCCAGCUCCUUAGGAGGCUGAGGCGGGAGAAUUGCUUGAAUCCGGGAGGCAGAGGUUGCAGUGAGCCAAGAUCGUACCACUGCACUCCAGCCUGGGCAACAGAGUGAGAUUCCGUCUCAAAAAAAAAAAAGAAAGAAAAUAUUUAUGGAGGAAUGAAUUUGAUUGGGGGUGAGCACAAAUUAACGUACCGUACCCUGCUGACCCCAUCCAACACUUUCUCCUUAGACUCUGAACCCUGCGUUGAAGGGUGAGACUGAAAGCAGUCAAAGAUCAGGCAUCCUGGGGGAGACACCCGGCGCAUUGUCCUCAGUGAUUUUUGCUUCUAAGACCUGUUGAAACUGCUGGUUGCUUCUCCUUUCUUUUUGAUCUCAUGAACAUCCUCAUAACCUUCCAGUAAAUUCCCCCUUGGCUUACAUCUUCCAGAACUGCUUUCGGGGGGUUGCAAUCAGUCUCCAAACAGGUACACCCUCAGCACCCAGGAAUUUUCUAGCCAGUCUCAGAAGGGGAUUCUCAGACCUCGUGAAGCCCUCCCGAGGUGACAGCCCCAGUUUUCAAGGUGGGGCGUCCAUACGGCUUGGCAACAGCAGCAGCAGGCUGGGAGCGAGGUGCAACUAAGACUCCCUACCUCCACUUCCACGACCUGGCUCAUGGAAGACACCAGAACCCCAGCAGAUGCGGAGCUUACCGGGGACACAGAAAGUUGGAUUUUGCCCAGAAGCCUGGCUGAUUUGUUUACUUAUUUGCAACGAUGCAUGAUAAGAAAGAUCAAAAACAAGUGAGUGAGUGAGCUAAUUUCCUUCCUUCCCUUCUCCUCCUCCCCUUCUCUUCCUCGAAUAUUUCCUAUUUGUUUACAAAGGCCCAAAAUAUCCCCCCAACAUAACAAUGGGAAAAAGUCACCUGGCAGAUACCAUUUAAAGCAAGCGAUUGGACGGGCGCGGUGGCUCACACCUGUAAUCUCAACACUUUGGGAGGCCAAGGCAGGCAGAUCACUUGAGGUCACAAGUUCAAGACCAGCCUGGCCAACAUGGUGAAACUCCAUCUCUACUAAUAAUACAAAAAUUGGCCUGGCGUGGUGGUGCGCACCUGUAGUCCCAGCUACUCAGGAGGCUGAUGAUGAGAAUCGCUUGAACCUGGUAGGCAGAGGUUGCAGUGAGCCAAGAUUGCACCAUUGCACUCCAGCCUGGGCAACAGUGAGAGACUCUGUCUCAAAAAAAAAAAAAAAAAAAAAGGUAUAAAUCGCCAUCAUGUGCCCUUGCUAGGAUGCAUUGACACAGACACACAUCGCUUCUGCGUAAUCCCUGCCAAAAACACUUAACCUGAGUUUCACUGUGAGGAAACAUCAAACAAACCCAAAGUUAAGGGGCAUUCUACCAAAUGAUUGGGCAGUACUCGUUAGAAACGUCGUUGUCAAGAAAAA
Long non-coding RNA from Pan troglodytes (chimpanzee), 1857 nucleotides. RefSeq lists it as uncharacterized. The record is from RefSeq and is a predicted model, not a curated record. Lineage: Eukaryota; Metazoa; Chordata; Mammalia; Primates; Hominidae. The transcript is spliced from 2 exons.